AGAGUUUGAUCAUGGCUCAGAUUGAACGCUGGCGGCAGGCUUAACACAUGCAAGUCGAGCGGAGAUGAGGUGCUUGCACCUUAUCUUAGCGGCGGACGGGUGAGUAAUGCUUAGGAAUCUGCCUAUUAGUGGGGGACAACAUUCCGAAAGGAAUGCUAAUACCGCAUACGUCCUACGGGAGAAAGCAGGGGAUCUUCGGACCUUGCGCUAAUAGAUGAGCCUAAGUCGGAUUAGCUAGUUGGUGGGGUAAAGGCCUACCAAGGCGACGAUCUGUAGCGGGUCUGAGAGGAUGAUCCGCCACACUGGGACUGAGACACGGCCCAGACUCCUACGGGAGGCAGCAGUGGGGAAUAUUGGACAAUGGGGGGAACCCUGAUCCAGCCAUGCCGCGUGUGUGAAGAAGGCCUUAUGGUUGUAAAGCACUUUAAGCGAGGAGGAGGCUACUGAGACUAAUACUCUUGGAUAGUGGACGUUACUCGCAGAAUAAGCACCGGCUAACUCUGUGCCAGCAGCCGCGGUAAUACAGAGGGUGCGAGCGUUAAUCGGAUUUACUGGGCGUAAAGCGUGCGUAGGCGGCUUUUUAAGUCGGAUGUGAGAUCCCCGAGCUUAACUUGGGAAUUGCAUUCGAUACUGGGAAGCUAGAGUAUGGGAGAGGAUGGUAGAAUUCCAGGUGUAGCGGUGAAAUGCGUAGAGAUCUGGAGGAAUACCGAUGGCGAAGGCAGCCAUCUGGCCUAAUACUGACGCUGAGGUACGAAAGCAUGGGGAGCAAACAGGAUUAGAUACCCUGGUAGUCCAUGCCGUAAACGAUGUCUACUAGCCGUUGGGGCCUUUGAGGCUUUAGUGGCGCAGCUAACGCGAUAAGUAGACCGCCCG
RNAcentral lists this ribosomal RNA (873 nucleotides) under uncultured organism. Its description in RNAcentral is "bacterial SSU rRNA". It matches the Rfam family "Bacterial small subunit ribosomal RNA", at positions 9 to 873 of the family's 1533-position model. The record is from RNAcentral.